This 443-nucleotide ribosomal RNA is filed under the name uncultured Faecalibacterium sp. RNAcentral describes it as "bacterial SSU rRNA". It matches the Rfam family "Bacterial small subunit ribosomal RNA", at positions 355 to 794 of the family's 1533-position model. The record is from RNAcentral. Lineage: Bacteria; Bacillati; Bacillota; Clostridia; Eubacteriales; Oscillospiraceae.
UGAGGAAUAUUGGUCAAUGGGCGCAGGCCUGAACCAGCCAAGUCGCGUGAGGGAGGACGGUCCUACGGAUUGUAAACCUCUUUUGUCGGGGAGUAACGUGCGGGACGGGUCCCGUAUUGAGAGUACCCGAAGAAAAAGCAUCGGCUAACUCCGUGCCAGCAGCCGCGGUAAAACGUAGGGUGCAAGCGUUGUCCGGAAUUACUGGGUGUAAAGGGAGCGCAGGCGGGCAUGCAAGUUGGAAGUGAAAACUAUGGGCUCAACCCAUAGCCUGCUUUCAAAACUGCGUGUCUUGAGUAGUGCAGAGGUAGGCGGAAUUCCCGGUGUAGCGGUGGAAUGCGUAGAUAUCGGGAGGAACACCAGUGGCGAAGGCGGCCUACUGGGCACCAACUGACGCUGAGGCUCGAAAGCAUGGGGUAGCAAACAGGAUUAGAUACCCUGGUAGU